ACCGCAUCACACUUCUCCCGCACC
Molecule: non-coding RNA, 24 nt
Filed under: Arabidopsis thaliana (thale cress)
Lineage: Eukaryota; Viridiplantae; Streptophyta; Magnoliopsida; Brassicales; Brassicaceae
Source: RNAcentral